RNAcentral lists this long non-coding RNA (1266 nucleotides) under Canis lupus dingo (dingo). RNAcentral describes it as "lncRNA (ENSCAFG00020021949.1)". Lineage: Eukaryota; Metazoa; Chordata; Mammalia; Carnivora; Canidae. The record is from RNAcentral.
AUGCCCCCGCGUCCAGCGAGGCGCCCCGCGGCGGCGUCGGAGCAGCGCACCUGCCGGCGCAGGCGCGCGGGGAGGGCGGGGCGGGGCCUGGGCGGGGCCUGGGCGGGACCCGGGCUCCACUUCCGGCCCCCGCGGCCCCGCCCCCCGCGGCGCGACGGCGGGUCACGUGACGGCCGCGCGCGUUCCCGGCCGCUGCGGGCUCCGGGGCCGGAGAGGGAGGCCUGCGCGGCGGCGGCCGCCCGAGAGGUGGGAGUCGGGGCGCGGCGCUCGCGGGGCGGGGGGCCGGCCGCUGCGGGCUGCUGGCGGGGCCGAGGCGCGGCGGCGCGCGGUGUCACGGCGGACGGGCCGCGCUGCGGUGGGCCGUGCGCUGCGGGCCUGCGAGGGGCGGCGGCGGCGGCGGGGUCAGGGCCGGGACGUAGGUGGACGCCCUUGGGCCGGCGGGCCGCGGCUCGGGCGCCGGAGGGCCGGGGCCGGGGCCGGCGGAAAGGCUGCGACGGGCGCCGUGGCCCCUGCCCCUGCCCCGGGCGCCGGCCCCGCACUGCCCCCGGCCGGGGUGCGAGAGGCGGCGCCGCGGCCAUUACUGCGCAGCCGCUUCCGCCGGGGCCGCCGGAGCCGCCGGAGCCUCCCCUCCCUCCCCUCCCCUCCCGUCGGCGGCGGGGUCGGGCCUCCGCCCGGGGCGUCCUGCUGCUCCCGCGGGGCGGCCUCCCGGGCCUCGGGACGCCGCGCAGCCGGGGCAUGCGGUCCCUCGUUGUGUCUGUCUCCGGAGCGUUUUUGGCUGCUUCCUCUCCCCCCCUCCCCUUUCCAUCCUCCCCCUUCCUCCCCCAUCCUUCCCCCUCCCAUCCUCCCCUCUUCCCCAUCCUCCCCCCCUCUGUCUCUCCCUCCCCAUCUCCUCCUCAUCCUCCUCCUCCCCAUCCUCCCCCCAUCCUCCCCUCUUCGCCAUCCUCCCCAUCCACCCCCCGUCCUUCCCAUCGUCCCCCCUCCCCUCCUCCCCCCAUCCCCCCCAUCCUCCCGAGUGUCCGGGUCUUGCCCAACACCCAGAGCAGCCCCUCAGCCUUGCCCUCCGUGAGACCGCCGCGUCUUCGUGUCUUGGUCCUUGUUUGGGUGAUGAUGAGCAAAGCUCCGGAGCAGUGGACGCGCCUGCAGCCCCGUGAGCCCCCCCCGCCCCCACCCCCCGGGAGGGCGUCCUGGAGGCGGAGGCCGCCGCUUUGUUCUCGGUUGCCUGGGUCGCCCCGCGCCCCCCCCCGCCCCCCCCCCCCGCCCGUCUGA